Molecule: ribosomal RNA, 415 nt
Filed under: grassland soil clone saf1_201
Lineage: Bacteria
Description: bacterial SSU rRNA
Rfam family: Bacterial small subunit ribosomal RNA
Source: RNAcentral
AACACAUGCAAGUCGAACGAGAAAGGGUAGCAAUACCUGAGUAAAGUGGCGCACGGGUGAGUAACACGUGACUAACCUACCCUGGAGUGGGGGAUAACUGAGGGAAACCUUGGCUAAUACCGCAUAACACCUACGGGUCAAAGGAGCAAUUCGCUUCAGGAGGGGGUCGCGGCCGAUUAGUUAGUUGGCGGGGUAAUGGCCCACCAAGACUGUGAUCGGUAUCCGGCCUGAGAGGGCGCACGGACACACUGGAACUGAAACACGGUCCAGACUCCCACGGGAGGCAGCAGUGGGGAAUUUUGCGCAAUGGGGGAAACCCUGACGCAGCAACGCCGCGUGGAGGAUGAAGUACUUCGGUACGUAAACUCCUUUCGAUCGGGACGAUUAUGACGGUACCGGAAGAAGAAGCCCCGGC